CCUACGGGGGGCAGCAGUGAGGAAUAUUGGUCAAUGGACGCAAGUCUGAACCAGCCAUGCCGCGUGCAGGAAGACGGCUCUAUGAGUUGUAAACUGCUUUUGUACGAGGGUAAACGCAGAUACGCGUAUCUGUCUGAAAGUAUCGUACGAAUAAGGAUCGGCUAACUCCGUGCCAGCAGCCGCGGUAAUACGGAGGAUUCAAGCGUUAUCCGGAUUUAUUGGGUUUAAAGGGUGCGUAGGCGGUCGGAGAAGUUAGAGGUGAAAUCCCGGGGCUCAACUUCGGAAUUGCCUCUGAUACUGUUCGGCUAGAGAGUAGUAGCGGUAGGCGGAAUGUAUGGUGUAGCGGUGAAAUGCUUAGAGAUCAUACAGAACACCGAUUGCGAAGGCAGCUUACCAGGCUACUUCUGACGUUGAGGCACGAAAGCGUGGGUAGCAAACAGGAUUAGAUACCCGGGUAGUC
Molecule: ribosomal RNA, 460 nt
Filed under: uncultured bacterium
Lineage: Bacteria
Description: partial 16S ribosomal RNA
Rfam family: Bacterial small subunit ribosomal RNA
Source: RNAcentral